UGACCUCAAAUCAGGUAGGACUGCCCGCUGAACUUAA
This 37-nucleotide ribosomal RNA is filed under the name Fomitiporia mediterranea. RNAcentral describes it as "partial 28S ribosomal RNA". Lineage: Eukaryota; Fungi; Basidiomycota; Agaricomycetes; Hymenochaetales; Hymenochaetaceae. The record is from RNAcentral.